RNAcentral lists this non-coding RNA (30 nucleotides) under Rattus norvegicus (Norway rat). The record is from RNAcentral. Lineage: Eukaryota; Metazoa; Chordata; Mammalia; Rodentia; Muridae.
UGGGAAGAUUUGCAUUAGUUGGGCCUUUGU